RNAcentral lists this ribosomal RNA (460 nucleotides) under uncultured bacterium. RNAcentral's name for it is "partial 16S ribosomal RNA". It matches the Rfam family "Bacterial small subunit ribosomal RNA", at positions 338 to 795 of the family's 1533-position model. The record is from RNAcentral.
CCUACGGGUGGCAGCAGUGAGGAAUAUUGGUCAAUGGACGGAAGUCUGAACCAGCCAUGCCGCGUGCAGGAAGACGGCCCUAUGAGUUGUAAACUGCUUUUGUACAAGGGUAAACCUGAAUACGUGUAUUCAGCUGAAAGUACUGUACGAAUAAGGAUCGGCCAACUCCGUGCCCGCAGCCGCGGUAAUACGGAGGGUUCCAGCGUUUACCGGAUUUAUUGGGUUUAAAGGGUGGGUAGGCGGAAUGCUAAGGUAGAGGGGAAAUGGUCGGGAUUAACCAGGGAACUGCCGUUAAUACUGGUGAUCUAGAGAGUAGAUGCAGUAGGCGGAAUGUAUGGUGUAGCGGUGAAAUGCUUAGAGAUCAUGCAGAACACCGAUUGUGAAGGCAGCUUACCAAUCUAUAUCUGACGUUGAGGCACGAAAGCGUGGGGAGCAAACAGGAUUAGAUACCCCAGUAGUC